Thalassophryne amazonica is the source of this 949-nucleotide long non-coding RNA. RefSeq lists it as uncharacterized. The transcript has 6 exons. NCBI's taxonomy places the organism in Eukaryota, Metazoa, Chordata, Actinopteri, Batrachoidiformes, Batrachoididae. The record is from RefSeq and is a predicted model, not a curated record.
GGCUGACUGCUAAACAGAACCGGUUCAAACCGGUUUCACUCUUAUUUUUCAGCGUAUAAACCACAAAAACAUUUGUUUGCAUUAAACAUUCGCCAUUUCACACAGCAUCUGAUCGACUGUUGACUGUAAACUCUCACAAAAAAGAGGCAUUUCACCUCCUACACACAAAUUUGCUUUCCUGCUACCAACAUGGUCAAAAAGAAGGAGGCAGCUUCCACCACUGAGAGAAGAUGCUCAGAACGUCUGAGGGGGAAAUCCAAACCUGCACUUAAAGUGGCGUCUGCGAUGGCGACAACUGGAAAAAAGAAAACCAAAGCAAAGAAGCCUCCUACAGAAAGUGAGAAUGCCAAGACUGAGACCAGUGCCAGCGCCCCUGAAUCCAACUGAAUGACUGAACUGCCCUCUACAUGUACUUGGUGACUGUACAGUUUUAAAGAAGUAUUUUUUACCAGGUUUUAUAUUACAAAUUGUCAUUUCUAGAUUUGUUUUGGGCAUGCACCUGAUGAAACAAAGUUGUUUUCAACAUUCAUAUGCAUUUUAAAAUAAUUCAUUGUCCAUAUCCUGUAGACGUGGCAGUUUUUUUUUUUUUUUUUUUUUGGUAAAAGCAGAGUACUGCUAAUACAGCUGUUUUCCGCUAAAUAUUAAAUGUAAUUUUAAAAUACGGCAGCUACAGCAUGUUGUUACAAGUUCACUUAUAAUUUUACCGAUAAAGAAAUGAAUCAUUCAGCUAAUGCUUUGAACAUUUUUAUAUCCACAUGAAGUGUAAGCAGUGAAAAUGCUGCCAAAAAUAAAAUUAAAUAAAUGAAAGUAGAGCUGAUAAUCUGUUUAAUACAUACCAAAAGCAUGUAUAAUGUGAAGCUUGUCAUCUGAUUUAAACAGUUCUGUUAAAUUAUGUCCUGUAAAAGUGGAAGGAAGCCUUAGCUUAAUGUUGAAUAAAAUUCUACAAAAU